GGCGAGAUGGCCGAGCGGUCUAAGGCGCUGGUUGAAGGCACCAGUCCCUUCGGGGGCGUGGGUUCGAAUCCCACUCUCGUCA
This 82-nucleotide transfer RNA is filed under the name Nippostrongylus brasiliensis. It matches the Rfam family "tRNA". Rfam says of the family: Transfer RNA (tRNA) molecules are approximately 80 nucleotides in length. Their secondary structure includes four short double-helical elements and three loops (D, anti-codon, and T loops). Lineage: Eukaryota; Metazoa; Nematoda; Chromadorea; Rhabditida; Heligmosomidae. The record is from Rfam by way of RNAcentral.